UGCAGUCGAGCGAACUGAUUAGAAGCUUGCUUCUAUGACGUUAGCGGCGGACGGGUGAGUAACACGUGGGCAACCUGCCUGUAAGACUGGGAUAACUUCGGGAAACCGAAGCUAAUACCGGAUAGGAUCUUCUCCUUCAUGGGAGAUGAUUGAAAGAUGGUUUCGGCUAUCACUUACAGAUGGGCCCGCGGUGCAUUAGCUAGUUGGUGAGGUAACGGCUCACCAAGGCAACGAUGCAUAGCCGACCUGAGAGGGUGAUCGGCCACACUGGGACUGAGACACGGCCCAGACUCCUACGGGAGGCAGCAGUAGGGAAUCUUCCGCAAUGGACGAAAGUCUGACGGAGCAACGCCGCGUGAGUGAUGAAGGCUUUCGGGUCGUAAAACUCUGUUGUUAGGGAAGAACAAGUACGAGAGUAACUGCUCGUACCUUGACGGUACCUAACCAGAAAGCCACGGCUAACUACGUGCCAGCAGCCGCGGUAAUACGUAGGUGGCAAGCGUUAUCCGGAAUUAUUGGGCGUAAAGCGCGCGCAGGCGGUUUCUUAAGUCUGAUGUGAAAGCCCACGGCUCAACCGUGGAGGGUCAUUGGAAACUGGGGAACUUGAGUGCAGAAGAGAAAAGCGGAAUUCCACGUGUAGCGGUGAAAUGCGUAGAGAUGUGGAGGAACACCAGUGGCGAAGGCGGCUUUUUGGUCUGUAACUGACGCUGAGGCGC
This 716-nucleotide ribosomal RNA is filed under the name Priestia aryabhattai. RNAcentral's name for it is "bacterial SSU rRNA". It matches the Rfam family "Bacterial small subunit ribosomal RNA", at positions 56 to 754 of the family's 1533-position model. The record is from RNAcentral. Lineage: Bacteria; Bacillati; Bacillota; Bacilli; Caryophanales; Bacillaceae.